Sapajus apella (tufted capuchin) is the source of this 380-nucleotide long non-coding RNA. RefSeq lists it as uncharacterized. NCBI's taxonomy places the organism in Eukaryota, Metazoa, Chordata, Mammalia, Primates, Cebidae. The transcript has 3 exons. The record is from RefSeq and is a predicted model, not a curated record.
UAGUGGUAGAGUUAUUUUAUACCGCUUGGGGAGGAGGUUGUGGAAAUUACUCAUUCCUCAUCUUCUGCCUUCUAUUGUCUUCAACUAUGCCAAAGAUCCCCUGGAAACUGCUCACUGAAAUAACUCAGAGAAAAAUUAUUAAUGCACUUGAUGGAGAUCAACUCAGAAAAAAGAAACUGCCUAUCAAGAUGUGUUCCUGACCACCUGGAACACUGCGUAACUGGGCAGAGAAGAGAGUCCUUUUACCCACAUUCCCUUAUCCGGCUUCAUCCUCCUUCCAGGAAAAUGGCUUUGAUAGAACUUUCAGCCUCAGGUCCAACACAGUGGCUCAUGCCUGUAAUCCCAACACUUUGGGAAGCCAAGAAAUGUGGAUCACUUGA